ACGCGACCCCAGGUCAGGCGGGGCUACCCGCUGAGUUUAAGCAUAUCAAUAAGCG
RNAcentral lists this ribosomal RNA (55 nucleotides) under Ficus pachyrrhachis. Its description in RNAcentral is "partial 28S ribosomal RNA". Lineage: Eukaryota; Viridiplantae; Streptophyta; Magnoliopsida; Rosales; Moraceae. The record is from RNAcentral. RNAcentral also lists the same sequence under 3 other names.